CUACGUGCCAGCAGCCGCGGUAAUACGUAGGUGGCAAGCGUUGUCCGGAUUUAUUGGGCGUAAAGCGAGCGCAGGCGGUUCCUUAAGUCUGAUGUGAAAGCCCCCGGCUCAACCGGGGAGGGUCAUUGGAAACUGGGGAACUUGAGUGCAGAAGAGGAGAGUGGAAUUCCAUGUGUAGCGGUGAAAUGCGUAGAUAUAUGGAGGAACACCAGUGGCGAAGGCGACUCUCUGGUCUGUAACUGACGCUGAGGCUCGAAAGCGUGGGUAGCAAACAAGAUUAGAUACCCUGGUAGUCCACGCCGUAAACGAUGAGUGCUAAGUGUUGGAGGGUUUCCGCCCUUCAGUGCUGCAGUUAACGCAUUAAGCACUCCGCCUGGGGAGUACGACCGCAAGGUUGAAACUCAAAGGAAUUGACGGGGGCCCGCACAAGCGGUGGAGCAUGUGGUUUAAUUCGAAGCAACGCGAAGAACCUUACCAGGUCU
Molecule: ribosomal RNA, 482 nt
Filed under: uncultured bacterium
Lineage: Bacteria
Description: bacterial SSU rRNA
Rfam family: Bacterial small subunit ribosomal RNA
Source: RNAcentral